RNAcentral lists this ribosomal RNA (74 nucleotides) under Caenorhabditis japonica. The record is from RNAcentral. Lineage: Eukaryota; Metazoa; Nematoda; Chromadorea; Rhabditida; Rhabditidae.
GCUUACGACCAUAUCACGUUGAAUACACGCCAUCCCGUCCGAUCUGGCAAGUUAAGCAACGUUGAGUCCAGUUA